GAGUUUGAUCGAUUUCGAGUU
This 21-nucleotide microRNA is filed under the name Populus trichocarpa (black cottonwood). RNAcentral's name for it is "ptc-miR6440d". The record is from miRBase by way of RNAcentral. Lineage: Eukaryota; Viridiplantae; Streptophyta; Magnoliopsida; Malpighiales; Salicaceae.